Molecule: long non-coding RNA, 1018 nt
Filed under: Marmota monax (woodchuck)
Lineage: Eukaryota; Metazoa; Chordata; Mammalia; Rodentia; Sciuridae
Source: RNAcentral
CCUAAACAAAUUGUUUUAUUUAUUAUUUAUUUAUUUAGGUACUGGGGAUUGAACUCAGGGGCACUCAACCACUGAGCCACGUCCCCAGCUCUAUUUUGUAUUUUAUUUAGAGACAGGGUCUCACUGAGUUGCUUAGUGACUCACUUUUGCUGAGGCUGGCUUUGAACUCGUGAUCCUUCUGCCUCAGCCUCCCAGGUUGCUGGGAUUACAGGUGUAUGCCAAUGAGCCUGGCUUAAACAAAUUAUUUUAAAACUAAUUAGUUGCUCAACUGAAAAUCACAUAUGUACCUCUUAGUAGGGAGAAAUUGGUUCACACACUAAUUAAUCCCUGUUGUAAUCAUGAGUUUCUGCACCUGUUCUUGAGAAUGAAUCCUUGCUUUUUUGCUUAACUCUAUUAGCUUUUGCUUUUAUCUCUGGUAAUAUAGAUAUCUGUAACUAUGCCAAGACUUCCAAAUAACUGUUCAUAAUCACUGCCCACUGGGAGAAGCUCUCUUUUACCCCACUGAUUUCCUUUGAAUCUCUGCUCUACCCCAGGACUCAAAUGCAUAAAAAUUACUGAUCCUUCUGAAGAAAGGGAGGGACUGCAAAAAUGUAAGAGAAAGUACUUUUAAGUAUCCUUGGCAAAUGACCUUGCAAGGGUUUUAUGGAAGGUGUGAUGAGGGUGGGGAAGACCUGGGAAAAUAAAAACACUGUAUUGCUAAACCAUGCAUGUGUUCUUCAGCAUUAAAAUUACCCUUGCUGCUCAUUCCUAUAUGUGCCACAAGUUUCAUGAUACAAGAGCAUAUCACUUGCCUUACAUUUUCCUCUGUAUUAUAAACCCACAGAAUUGCAGUAAUAUGAACUGGUUAACAACAAAAUUCUUUCCAGUGCUUCAUAAAGCCGUUGACUUUUUUUCAUUUGAGAUGUGUGAAUAAGAUGCACAAAAAACAAGAACAGAUGAUAUUAUUCAAGCCAUUUGGUAAGAAAUGUCUGACAAAAACAAGAAAAUGCACUUAUUGAUUCCAAUGCAGUAAUUGGUU